AUGCCCCUACGGGGGGCAGCAGUGGGGGAUAUUGCACAAUGGGGGAAACCCUGAUGCAGCGACGCCGCGUGGGUGAAGAAGCGCCUCGGCGCGUAAAGCCCUGUCAGCAGGGAAGAAAAUGACGGUACCUGAAGAAGAAGCCCCGGCUAACUACGUGCCAGCAGCCGCGGUAAUACGUAGGGGGCAAGCGUUAUCCGGCUUUACUGGGUGUAAAGGGGGCGCAGACGGCGAUGCACGCCAGUAGUGAAAGCCCGGGGCCCAACCCCGCGACUG
This 273-nucleotide ribosomal RNA is filed under the name uncultured bacterium. Its description in RNAcentral is "partial 16S ribosomal RNA". It matches the Rfam family "Bacterial small subunit ribosomal RNA", at positions 333 to 623 of the family's 1533-position model. The record is from RNAcentral.